RNAcentral lists this ribosomal RNA (852 nucleotides) under uncultured bacterium. Its description in RNAcentral is "bacterial SSU rRNA". It matches the Rfam family "Bacterial small subunit ribosomal RNA", at positions 62 to 874 of the family's 1533-position model. The record is from RNAcentral.
UCGAGCGAACUUAACUAAAUGAAUGCGGUGCUUGCACCAAGUGAUUUUACAGCGGUGAGCGGCGGAUGGGUGAGUAACACGUGGGUAACCUGCCUCUAAGCAGGGGAUAACAUUUGGAAACAGAUGCUAAUACCGUAUAAAUCCUAAAACCACAUGGUUUUAGGCUGAAAGGCGGCUUCGGCUGUCACUUAGAGAUGGACCCGCGGCGUAUUAGCUAGUUGGUGAGGUAAUGGCUCACUAAGGCAAUGAUACGUAGCCGAACUGAGAGGUUGAUCGGCCACAUUGGGACUGAGACACGGCCCAAACUCCUACGGGAGGCAGCAGUAGGGAAUCUUCCACAAUGGACGCAAGUCUGAUGGAGCAACGCCGCGUGAGUGAAGAAGGCUUUCGGGUCGUAAAACUCUGUUGUUGAAGAAGAACACGUUUGAGAGUAACUGUUCAGACGUUGACGGUAUUCAACCAGAAAGCCACGGCUAACUACGUGCCAGCAGCCGCGGUAAUACGUAGGUGGCAAGCGUUAUCCGGAUUUAUUGGGCGUAAAGCGAGCGCAGGCGGUUUUUUAAGUCUGAUGUGAGAGCCCUCGGCUUAACCGAGGAAGUGCAUCGGAAACUGGGAAACUUGAAUGCUGAAGAGGACAGUGGAACUCCAUGUGUAGCGGUGAAAUGCGUAGAUAUAUGGAAGAACACCAGUGGCGAAGGCGGCUGUCUGGUCAGUUAUUGACGCUGAGGCUCGAAAGCAUGGGUAGCGAACAGGAUUAGAUACCCUGGUAGUCCAUGCCGUAAACGAUGAAUACUAGGUGUUGGAGGGUUUCCGCCCUUCAGUGCCGCAGCUAACGCAUUAAGUAUUCCGCCU